GUCUCCUUAGCUCAGUUGGCUAGAGCAUUCGACUUUUAAUCGAAGGGUCCUGGGUUCAAGUCCCAGAGGAGGCACCA
This 77-nucleotide transfer RNA is filed under the name Clostridiales bacterium. RNAcentral describes it as "tRNA-Lys". It matches the Rfam family "tRNA". From Rfam's summary of the family: Transfer RNA (tRNA) molecules are approximately 80 nucleotides in length. Their secondary structure includes four short double-helical elements and three loops (D, anti-codon, and T loops). Lineage: Bacteria; Bacillati; Bacillota; Clostridia; Eubacteriales. The record is from RNAcentral.